AGCCCCUUAGCUCAGUGGUUAGAGCAGGCGACUCAUAAUCGCUUGGCCGUUGGUUCAAAACCAACAGGGGCUACCA
RNAcentral lists this transfer RNA (76 nucleotides) under Serratia phage vB_SmaA_3M. Its description in RNAcentral is "tRNA-Met". It matches the Rfam family "tRNA". From Rfam's summary of the family: Transfer RNA (tRNA) molecules are approximately 80 nucleotides in length. Their secondary structure includes four short double-helical elements and three loops (D, anti-codon, and T loops). Further hydrogen bonds mediate the characteristic L-shaped molecular structure. tRNAs have two regions of fundamental functional importance: the anti-codon, which is responsible for specific mRNA codon recognition, and the 3' end, to which the tRNAs corresponding amino acid is attached (by aminoacyl-tRNA synthetases). tRNAs cope with the degeneracy of the genetic code in two manners: having more than one tRNA (with a specific anti-codon) for a particular amino acid; and 'wobble' base-pairing, i.e. permitting non-standard base-pairing at the 3rd anti-codon position. The record is from RNAcentral. Lineage: Duplodnaviria; Heunggongvirae; Uroviricota; Caudoviricetes; Pantevenvirales; Ackermannviridae.